CAGGGAGACAACAAAAUGUUUAAUAUUAAUUUUGUCACCUUAGGUCGAUCGGUAUCUCACAUUCUUAAUUUAUUUAAGGAUUUUAUUUCCUAAGUUUUUUCUAGGUCACACCCAUUAUUUUUCCUGGGCCAUUAGCUCAGGUGGUUAGAGCGCACCCCUGAUAAGGGUGAGGUCCCUGGUUCAAGUCCAGGAUGGCCCAUAUCUCUAUGUUGGGGGUAUAGCUCAGUUGGUAGAGCGCCUGCUUUGCAAGCAGGAUGUCAGCGGUUCGAGUCCGCUUACCUCCACUGAUUACCACCUCUUCCAUAAAUUUAUUGAAGGGAAAUUUUUUAGGUGUGAUCAAAUUCUGAACGAAUCUAGCUUCCUAACCAAACUUAUUAAGAUGCUGGACUCAUUGAAUUAUUUUCAUUGUUUUCAGAGAACCUUGACAACUGCAUAGAUUAUUUUUAAAGACAAUAAGCAUCUUUAAUGAUGCAGAUUUAUUAUUUGUGCGAAUGCAUUAAAUAACAAUUCUAUUAAGCUGAUGCUUCAAUUUUUUGAAGUUAUU
RNAcentral lists this transfer RNA (544 nucleotides) under uncultured cyanobacterium. RNAcentral's name for it is "partial 16S-23S ribosomal RNA intergenic spacer". The stretch from base 212 to 284 matches the Rfam family "tRNA". Lineage: Bacteria; Bacillati; Cyanobacteriota. The record is from RNAcentral.